RNAcentral lists this long non-coding RNA (1531 nucleotides) under Carica papaya (papaya). RNAcentral describes it as "long non-coding RNA (CPAP_LNC000156)". The record is from RNAcentral. Lineage: Eukaryota; Viridiplantae; Streptophyta; Magnoliopsida; Brassicales; Caricaceae.
AUUGAUUUGUGGUCUAAUUUACUUCUGUGGGAUGUGUAUGUGAAAAAAGGCUAAAUAACCAAAAAAUUUAAUAAGUAAAGUAGAUAGAAGUCUAGAGGUGGAAAGUAUUGGAGCACAAUUUGGUAGGGUGCUUGAAACUUAAGUAUCUAAGAAAGCAUUCUAUUGAUUAGAUAAGUUGCAGAUUAAAUAACUUUUCUCUUAAAAAAUUUAGAAACUUUAGUUGUGACCAUGAGGGACCGAGCAGCUUGCUAGAGAUCUCUAUUCUUCUUUCAGCUAUCCCAUUUUGUUGAAGGGUAUCAACAUGCACUUUGAUGAAUAAUCCCCUCCUUUUCAAGAUAUAUACCCAACAUUUUUUCAAAAUAUUCUUUUGCAUUGUCUGUAUUGAAUACUUCUUUUUUUUUUGGAAUUGAGCUUGGACCAUCUUGUUAGAUUUUUCUAAAUAUAUGACCAACUUUUUUUUUUCUUUCAUGAGAAAUAGAUAUGUAAUUCUUGUAUGAUCAGCUACAAAUGAUAUAAACCAUCUAGUAUCAGAAUGAUAUUGAUUCUAGAUGAUUAUCAAACAUCACUAUGGACCAUAGUAAAUGGUUUAGAGGCUCUAUACGGCAUGUGGGAUAUAUAGUACGAAUAUGUUUUGAUAAUUGACAUACUUCACAAUGAAAGUUAUGAAAGUCGGACUAUAAUUCUACUUCAUAGGGAAGUUUCCCUAAAGAAAUACCAAUUUGUAUAAGAAUUAGACUUCUACAGAAAGUCAAAUUCCAAUAGUUAAUUUUUUAAUAGAAGGAUGUAGAAAUUUGGGUUUUUUCUAAGAAGUUGUAAACUUAACAAAGAAUUAUAUGGAAAAAAAAAAAGAAAUUAGGCUUCAAUGCCAACUAAUGCAAAACCAAGACAUCGUGAAAUAAAACUGUCCUUAGGAUAAUUUAAAGUCAGAACAGAAGAGUAGAGGUAGACCAGAGAAAGUUGGACAUCAAAUAAAGAACCAUAUAGAGAAAUAGACAGAACAGGAUAAGUUAGAUAAACCAAUAACUUGAGAAAGAACAAAGAGAGAAAUAGACAUGAUUGCAUCACACAACCAAGACAUAUGAAAACUCUAAGAAUAACUUAUUGACUCAUGGCCUAUCUGUAAAAUUACAAAGGUAUUUGUACUGCUUCAAUAUAAAAGCUCAAUCUAAUUACACCUAAGGAAUGCUAAUAGAAAACUUUAAAAAAAGAAUUUAAACUAUAAAUAAAUCCUAAAGUCGCUGAAGACUUAAUAUCACCCAUACUAUUUCAAGAAAUUGCAGAUUAGUAAGCAACAAAAUUUCUUAUCAACUCAGAAUAUCUAGUUCAUAUCCAUUCGGCAUUAAGUAAAGACAUUGAUUAACAUUCAAAACCCCAGUUUGUAAUCCCCUUAUGCAAAAGCAGGCAUUAUUGAGUAUGCUUAAUAACCAGCACAAAAAACCUGAAUGGUUUUGGAUUGAACAUAUCAAGCAUCCAAAGUUAUAGACAUUAAUAGUAUUUAUGGUGAUAAAUCUUGCCACCGAAGUGUACAAUU